AAACUAGGCUGCAGACCCUUUGACACAAGAUCAGAGAAGAUUUUUGCUGCAUCUUCAAGUUGCCCAGCCUCACACAAGCUGUCCAUAAGGAUAUUAUAAGUGACAGUAGUAGGCUUGAUACCUUUAUCGUCCAUAUCUUCAAGUAAUGCCACUGCUUCAUCAAGUUGUUUACUUUUACACAGGCCAUCAAGCAAUGAAUUAUAUGUGACAACAUCGGGAGUUUCUCCGUGAAAUUGCAUAUCUGUGAGCAACUGGCGUGCAAGUGUCAGUCUGUUGGCUUUACACAGGCCAUCAAUAAGAGUGUUAUAGGUUACAAGAUCUGGUGUUAUUCCUUUCUGAAACAUUUGUUCUUAGUUUGCUAAUUUGUGUUCUUAUACUCGUGUAGGCAAAGUGCUUAGAAACAGGGGAAACUGUGGCUAUAAAAAAGGUUCUUCAGGACAAGAGGUACAAAUAUCCGUUUCAGAUUUGGUUUUGCGUGAACAUAAUAAUAUAGCAUGAUUCAACUUUAAAAUUUGACCCGAUCUGAAGCUUUGUGACUUUGGAAGUGCAAAAGUUCUGAUAAAAGGCGAGCAUAAUAUAUCUUAUAUCUGCUUGCCAAAUGGUCGCUUUCUUCCCCCGUUGUUUAACUUGAAGCCUCAUGAGUUGAAAGGAGUGCCAGCAGAAACAGUUGUCCGAUUGAUCCCCGAGCAUGCAAGGAAGCAAUGUCCAUUUCUUGGAUUGUGAAAUCAAAUUUGAUGAGAUAAUGAAGAGCAGAGGGAAUCAUUAUUAUUAUGGAAGAUGUGGUUUCGUAGUCUGAGUAUCUGUUCCUUUUUACUCCUUUUAUAUAUUGUCUGGUGCCCCCUUCUGUGUUAGUAUCUUUUUUACCCCUUACACCCUAUGUUGUAAAAGCAGCUUUUAGAGAGAGAAAUGAACAAUUGCAAGUCCUGCACAAGACCUGAA
This is a long non-coding RNA of Chenopodium quinoa (quinoa), 939 nucleotides long. RefSeq lists it as uncharacterized. NCBI's taxonomy places the organism in Eukaryota, Viridiplantae, Streptophyta, Magnoliopsida, Caryophyllales, Amaranthaceae. The transcript has 3 exons. The record is from RefSeq and is a predicted model, not a curated record.